Molecule: ribosomal RNA, 484 nt
Filed under: uncultured bacterium
Lineage: Bacteria
Description: partial 16S ribosomal RNA
Rfam family: Bacterial small subunit ribosomal RNA
Source: RNAcentral
AUUGAACGCUGGCGGCAGGCCUAACACAUGCAGGUCGAGCGGAUGAAGGGAGCUUGCUCCUGGAUUCCGCGGCGGACGGGUGGGUAAUGCCUAGGAAUCUGCCUGGUAGUGGGGGAUAACGUCCGGACGGGGGCGCUAAUACCGCAUACGUCCUGAGGGAGAAAGUGGGGGAUCUUCGGACCUCACGCUAUCAGCUGAGCCUAGGACGGAUUAGCUAGUUGGUGGGGUAAAGGCCUACCAAGGCGACGAUCCGUAACUGGUCUGAGAGGAUGAUCAGUCACACUGGAACUGAGACACGGUCCAGACUCCUACGGGAGGCAGCAGUGGGGAAUAUUCGACAAUGGGCGAAAGCCUGAUCCAGCCAUGCCGCGUGUGUGAAGAAGGUCUUCGGAUUGUAAAGCACUUUUAGUUGGGAAGAACAGCAGUAUGUUAAUACCUGGCUGUUUUGACGUUACCAACAGAAUAAGCACCGGCUAACUUCGUG